AAGUCGUAACAAGGUUUCCGUAGGUGAACCUGCGGAAGGAUCAUUAAAGAAAUAAACCUGGCUUGAAUUGUAGCUGACUCUCUCUAGAGUAUGUGCACAUUCUUGUCGUCUUUAUAUCUCCACCUGUGCACCUUUUGUAGAUCAAUGGAUGCGAACUUUCUGAGGCUUGAGCAAAGCCUUCAGGUUAUAUGAGGAUCGACGGAGUCGCAAAGAUACCGGCUUUCCUUGGAAGCAUCUUCAUUGUCUAUGUCUUUUUUCAUAUACUCCAAUGAAUGUAAUAGAAUGAAUUUAAAUGGGUCUUUGUUACCUAUAAUAAAGUUUAUACAACUUUCAGCAACGGAUCUCUUGGCUCUC
This 354-nucleotide unclassified non-coding RNA is filed under the name Crepidotus applanatus. Its description in RNAcentral is "partial internal transcribed spacer region". The stretch from base 1 to 46 matches the Rfam family "Eukaryotic small subunit ribosomal RNA", at positions 1786 to 1831 of the family's 1831-position model. Lineage: Eukaryota; Fungi; Basidiomycota; Agaricomycetes; Agaricales; Crepidotaceae. The record is from RNAcentral.